CGCACAAGCGGUGGAUGAUGUGGAUUAAUUCGAUGCAACGCGAAAAACCUUACCUACCCUUGACAUGCCACUAACGAAGCAGAGAUGCAUCAGGUGCCCGAAAGGGAAAGUGGACACAGGUGCUGCAUGGCUGUCGUCAGCUCGUGUCGUGAGAUGUUGGGUUAAGUCCCGCAACGAGCGCAACCCUUGUCUCUAGUUGCUACGCAAGAGC
This 211-nucleotide ribosomal RNA is filed under the name Cupriavidus sp. RNAcentral's name for it is "partial 16S ribosomal RNA". It matches the Rfam family "Bacterial small subunit ribosomal RNA", at positions 922 to 1130 of the family's 1533-position model. The record is from RNAcentral. Lineage: Bacteria; Pseudomonadati; Pseudomonadota; Betaproteobacteria; Burkholderiales; Burkholderiaceae.